AGGUUGUUGCACGUGAACUCGGUUUACAACCUGUUGAUGAUGCUUCACCUUCGUUCAUCACUCCGCGAUAGAUCUCCGCCAUCAACGACUAAAACCACCCGAUUAUUACCAUAAAAUAUUUCCGGUAAUAAGUGAAGCUCUUGAACUUGUGAUUAAAGCUACAAUAUUUUCUUUUAGUAACGCUUUCUUUUAAAGGAAAAAAAAUCAAUGCGAAAUCGAAUUCGAAAGUGAAAUGAAAAAGAUUGUUCGCGCGCUCUAGAGAUGGAAGGCUUUUAAAUAUGAAGGCUCUUUAGUCUUUUCUGGAUGACUACGGGCAGAUUGCCCGUCACUGAUACGGGCAUACCAAACAACAGGUAGCGGCACU
This 364-nucleotide long non-coding RNA is filed under the name Gossypium barbadense (sea-island cotton). RNAcentral's name for it is "long non-coding RNA (GBAR_LNC015087)". Lineage: Eukaryota; Viridiplantae; Streptophyta; Magnoliopsida; Malvales; Malvaceae. The record is from RNAcentral.